GACGAACGCUGGCGGCGUGCUUAACACAUGCAAGUCGAACGGAAAGGCCCUGCUUUUGUGGGGUGCUCGAGUGGCGAACGGGUGAGUAACACGUGAGUAACCUGCCCUUGACUUUGGGAUAACUUCAGGAAACUGGGGCUAAUACCGGAUAGGGGCUCCUGCUGCAUGGUGGGGGUUGGAAAGUUUCGGCGGUUGGGGAUGGACUCGCGGCUUAUCAGCUUGUUGGUGGGGUAGUGGCUUACCAAGGCUUUGACGGGUAGCCGGCCUGAGAGGGUGACCGGCCACAUUGGGACUGAGAUACGGCCCAGACUCCUACGGGAGGCAGCAGUGGGGAAUAUUGCACAAUGGGCGGAAGCCUGAUGCAGCAACGCCGCGUGCGGGACGACGGCCUUCGGGUUGUAAACCGCUUUCGCCUGUGACGAAGCGUGAGUGACGGUAAUGGGUAAAGAAGCACCGGCUAACUACGUG
RNAcentral lists this ribosomal RNA (468 nucleotides) under uncultured bacterium. RNAcentral's name for it is "partial 16S ribosomal RNA". It matches the Rfam family "Bacterial small subunit ribosomal RNA", at positions 28 to 507 of the family's 1533-position model. The record is from RNAcentral.